CUGUAACGAACUAAGAAUUUAAUAAAGAAAAGAAAAAAAUAAAUUAGACUAUAUAUAAAGGAAAAUCUUUGAGAUCCUAAAACACUGUCAUUUCGUAAUUGGAGUGAAAUGGAUUGGUAAAUGCAGAAUGCAAAAAUGUAUUGGUAAGCACGGUAAAAAAGUAAUACUAAAUGUCAUUUAUAUGUGGUUAAUUUUUAGUCAUACUUUAUACGUGUUUUGAAGUAAUAAGGAGGACUAAAAUUGAGCAUGCAUCAUUGAAGGUGUCUAUUGGUAAGGAAGCUUAUUUGAUAUUAGUGGGUUCCGAUGUUGAAUUCCGGAACGAUAUUAUUAUUUGAUAUUUGGAAUGAUAUAAGUUGAUGAUGUGUUCCAAUGCUAAAUUUCCGGAACGAGAUUGUUCUUUAAUGUUUGAUAUAUUAUGAUGUGUGACUUAAGCUUCCUAAAUUUGUGUGAUUGGGCCCACAUUCAUUGCAUGCAUUAGUUUGAAGAAGGAAGAGAUGAAGUCCAGUAUUAGUAGCGCAUAGUGUGGUAUGAGACACAUUGUACACUACAAUUCUGGAGUAGGACGGAGGUAAAUUUCUUGCAUACACAUCAUGCAUCUCAUAGCAUAAUUACAUCAUAACUUGUAAAAUUUAAACUUACCUAAUAAUUUAAUUUAUUGCGUUAAGGUAAAAUAUUCUUUUCUAAAUUCUUAUUAAUCUCUUGUAUAUUUAUCUCACCCUUACACUGUUUUUUUAAGGAUGGACAUUCCGAUCAUCAGAGUGCACUUAGGCUUUGACUACAUAGAAG
This 786-nucleotide long non-coding RNA is filed under the name Lotus japonicus. RNAcentral describes it as "long non-coding RNA (LJAP_LNC001835)". Lineage: Eukaryota; Viridiplantae; Streptophyta; Magnoliopsida; Fabales; Fabaceae. The record is from RNAcentral.